Molecule: long non-coding RNA, 324 nt
Organism: Sardina pilchardus (European sardine)
Lineage: Eukaryota; Metazoa; Chordata; Actinopteri; Clupeiformes; Clupeidae
Exons: 3
Source: RefSeq, a predicted model, not a curated record
CGCGAGUCAUCUUUGUCAGGGGCGACACCGCGUUCUGUUCACAAUAUGAAUGUAGAGGAUGCUCUGACAAAAUGAAAGUCAAGUGUCACCAUAAUAACUUGUUGCAGCCCCUGGUUGUCAUUGGCCUACGCAAGACUGUAGUGUUGCUGCUUCACUCUUCUUGGCAAAGGAGCUUUUUUGGGAGGAAGAGGAGGAUGGCUUCAGUCCCAGUCCCAGUCCCAGACCACCUGCCCAGAGCCCCAGCCGCCUCCUAAGCUGCUUAGACCAGAACCAGCACCAGGACAUCUUAAAAGGGCAAUUGCUCUGUCGCUAGUUUGGAGUUUA